RNAcentral lists this non-coding RNA (157 nucleotides) under uncultured Phascolarctobacterium sp. RNAcentral's name for it is "Lysine riboswitch". It matches the Rfam family "Lysine riboswitch aptamer". From Rfam's summary of the family: Riboswitches are metabolite binding domains within certain messenger RNAs that serve as precision sensors for their corresponding targets. Allosteric rearrangement of mRNA structure is mediated by ligand binding, and this results in modulation of gene expression. This family includes riboswitches that sense lysine in a number of genes involved in lysine metabolism, including lysC. The record is from RNAcentral. Lineage: Bacteria; Bacillati; Bacillota; Negativicutes; Acidaminococcales; Acidaminococcaceae.
UUGAUAGAGGAGCGGAAAACAUCAGUAUAACGUGGAGAGGGAUCUGUGAAGCGUUUGAAAGGGGAACCGCCGAAGUUUAAAAAGCAGCCAUGUUUUUUAUGCUGGGCCGUCAGUGAAUAACUGCCGGACUGUCGCCAAAAAAGGCGGAGGGCUAUCU